Entelurus aequoreus (snake pipefish) is the source of this 894-nucleotide long non-coding RNA. RefSeq lists it as uncharacterized. The transcript has 3 exons. The record is from RefSeq and is a predicted model, not a curated record. Lineage: Eukaryota; Metazoa; Chordata; Actinopteri; Syngnathiformes; Syngnathidae.
UUCCACCACUUGUGGCAGUAAUGACAAUAUCAAACAAACUGAACUUAAGCUGAAGUUAAUCAUAGAGAAGUUUAUUCAGCGCAAAAAUUAUGACUUAAGUGGCGAAACUGUAAUUUCAUUUACACUUUAAUUUUAUUGACAGCUUUUCUAAGAUACAUAUUUUUUAUAUUGAUUUAUUUCGAAUGUAUUUAUUUUAGCACCGUGUAAUUAUAUAUACAUUUAUUUUUCAAUCAGUUUUUGUGAGUCCCUUCUUUUGAAUUAUAUUUGAUUAGUGUUUCUUUUGCAAUCAGCCUGACCUAAACCUUGACAACAAUCGUUUUAUCCUGUUGAACUAAGUAUUUUAGAUAUAAUUAUUAAAUACGAUCAAAAUCAAGAGUAGGAUUACUAUUUCAGUAUUAGUAUUUGGUAGUGGAAAAGUUGGGACCCAAAGUCAAAAAGGUUAAGAACGUCCGCCUCGAUGUACGCUGCUGCUAUUUUGAAGGGCGUAGAAACCGAAAAUCACAAGUUACCAGUGAAGGUCUCUGUGCAGGGGUUGACUCCAGCCAGCCGCUUGGAGGUACCAAAGUCUGAAAUCUUCAAGACGCCGCUGUAGGUGUUGACCAGCACGUUGUCGCCCUGAUGGAGACGCAGCGGGUAGCGCAGCCCCUCCAGGAUCUGUCGGGUGUAGAAGAUGAUGGUGGCCUCCUUCAGGGGACCCCAUUUGGAGCGCAGCAAGGCCGACAAGCUCCCUAAAGACAAGAGUCCGAGUCGAGAAAGAUGUCCUUGUAGAUUCGUCCGCACAGACAGAACAUAUCGGGCGCCGGAUGCUCGCAGGACUGCAGGACCUGCAGCAUCACCCGGAGAGCUUGCUCUCUGUCGCCAGGACUGUUCCUCCUGCGAUUCAAGAAUUUAGGA